CCCUUAGAUGUUCUGGGCCGCACGCGCGCUACACUGAUGCAUUCAACGAGUUUCUUCCUGGUCCGAGAGGAAUGGGUAACCUUUUGAAAGUGCAUCGUGAUAGGGAUAGACUAUUGCAAUUAUUGGUCUUCAACGAGGAAUUCCUAGUAGACGUAGUUCAUCAGACUGCAUCGAUUACGUCCCUGCCCUUUGUACACACCGCCCGUCGCUCCUACCGAUUGAAUGGUCCGGUGAAGCCUCCGGAUUGGCGCGCACCUCGGUGCCGCCGAGAAGUUGGCUAAACCUUACCAUUUAGAGGAAGGUGAAGUCGUAACA
Molecule: ribosomal RNA, 315 nt
Filed under: uncultured eukaryote
Lineage: Eukaryota
Description: partial 18S ribosomal RNA
Rfam family: Eukaryotic small subunit ribosomal RNA
Source: RNAcentral